UGGGGAAUCUUGCACAAUGGGGGCAACCCUGAUGCAGCAACGCCGCGUGAACGUUGAAGGUCUUCGGAUCGUAAAGUUCUGUUGCAGGGGAAGAUAAUGACGGUACCCUUUGAGGUAGCCCCGGCUAACUACGUGCCAUCAGCCGCGGUAAUACGUAGGGGGCUAGCGUUAUCCGGAUUUACUGGGCGUAAAGGGUGCGUAGGUGGUAUUUCAAGUCGGAGGUUAAAGGCUACGGCUCAACCGUAGUUAGCCUCCGAAAAUGGAAGAGUUGAGGGAAGGAGAGGAAAGUGGAAUUCCCAGUGUAGCGGGGGAAAGCGGAAAUAUUGGGAGGAAAAACAGGAGCGAAGGCGGAUUUCUGGACUGAAACUGACAAUGAGGCACGAAAGCGUGGGUAGCAAACAGG
This 403-nucleotide ribosomal RNA is filed under the name Verrucomicrobiota bacterium. Its description in RNAcentral is "Verrucomicrobia bacterium partial 16S ribosomal RNA". It matches the Rfam family "Bacterial small subunit ribosomal RNA", at positions 355 to 776 of the family's 1533-position model. The record is from RNAcentral. Lineage: Bacteria; Pseudomonadati; Verrucomicrobiota.